Echinops telfairi (small Madagascar hedgehog) is the source of this 107-nucleotide small nuclear RNA. The record is from Ensembl. Lineage: Eukaryota; Metazoa; Chordata; Mammalia; Afrosoricida; Tenrecidae.
GUGCUGACUUCAGCAGCACAUAUAUUAAAAUUGGAACAAUAUAGAGAUGAUUAACAUAGCCUCUGUGCAAGGACAACAUGUAAUUUCAUGAUGCAUUCAGGUCCAUA